AUUGAACGCUGGCGGCAGGCCUAACACAUGCAAGUCGAGCGGAUGAAGGGAGCUUGCUCCUGGAUUCAGCGGCGGACGGGUGAGUAAUGCCUAGGAAUCUGCCUGGUAGUGGGGGAUAACGUCCGGAAACGGGCGCUAAUACCGCAUACGUCCUGAGGGAGAAAGUGGGGGAUCUUCGGACCUCACGCUAUCAGAUGAGCCUAGGUCGGAUUAGCUAGUUGGUGGGGUAAAGGCCUACCAAGGCGACGAUCCGUAACUGGUCUGAGAGGAUGAUCAGUCACACUGGAACUGAGACACGGUCCAGACUCCUACGGGAGGCAGCAGUGGGGAAUAUUGGACAAUGGGCGAAAGCCUUAUCCAGCCAUGCCGCGUGUGUGAAGAAGGCCUUCGGAUUGUAAAGCACUUUAAGUUGGGAGGAAGGGCAGUAAGUUAAUACCUUGCUGUUUUGACGUUACCAACAGAAUAAGCACCGGCUAACUUCGUG
This 484-nucleotide ribosomal RNA is filed under the name uncultured bacterium. RNAcentral describes it as "partial 16S ribosomal RNA". It matches the Rfam family "Bacterial small subunit ribosomal RNA", at positions 30 to 507 of the family's 1533-position model. The record is from RNAcentral.